GACGAACGCUGGCGGCGUGCUUAACACAUGCAAGUCGAGCGGUAAGGCCCUUUCGGGGGUACGACGAGCGGCGAACGGGUGAGUAACACGUGGGUGACCUGCCCUCAGCUCUGGGAUAAGCCUGGGAAACCGGGUCUAAUACUGGAUAUGACUCCAUGACGCAUGUUGUGGGGUGGAAAGCCUUGUGCGGCUGAGGAUGGGCCCGCGGCCUAUCAGCUUGUUGGUGGGGUGAGGCCUACCAAGGCGACGACGGGUAGCCGGCCUGAGAGGGCGACCGGCCACACUGGGACUGAGACACGGCCCAGACUCCUACGGGAGGCAGCAGGUGGGGAAUCUUGCGCAAUGGGCGAAAGCCUGACGCAGCGACGCCGCGUGAGGGAUGACGGCCU
Molecule: ribosomal RNA, 389 nt
Filed under: uncultured bacterium
Lineage: Bacteria
Description: bacterial SSU rRNA
Rfam family: Bacterial small subunit ribosomal RNA
Source: RNAcentral